RNAcentral lists this long non-coding RNA (358 nucleotides) under Mytilus galloprovincialis (Mediterranean mussel). The record is from RNAcentral. Lineage: Eukaryota; Metazoa; Mollusca; Bivalvia; Mytilida; Mytilidae.
CGCUUGAGAGUUCCAUAAUAGGUAGAACGGUAGUGGUGUUUAAAAAUAGCAAAAAAAGUAAACUGUUAUGUUACACAUUCAAAUUCAUUUCUGAAUAGUAAAAUGAAAGUACUUCAGUUAACUGUGAAUGUAGAAUGUGGUGAAAAUUCUAAAUAGGCUAUCAUUAUCCCUUAUGGGCCAGGAAAUACUACCGUGCCACCAAUAUUAAACAAGGAAUCCGAACUCCUAACAGCCCAUUUGGAAUUGGUAAAACAUGAUUAAUAAUACAGACAUGUAGUUUGAUAGACAACAUCGUAGAAGACAAAACGACUGGUGAAAGUGAAAGUGAAAGAUACAUCGUAAAAUAUUUACAAAAAAU